GAGGAGCUUCUUCAGCGUAGGGGUGUUCAGUUAUGCUCAAGGUGUGCAAUCUGUUUGAAUGCUAGGGAGAUCGGUCGACAUUUGUUCUGGGAUUUCCCAUUAAUUCUGGGGUUAUGGGAGUGGCUUUCAGCUAGCUCUCUUCCAACGGGCUUUUGAUUCGGGUUGUAACAUGCAUGUUAUGGUGUACUUGGUUUGAGAGAAAUCGGUUGAGGCAUAAGUUGAAUUGAUCCCCGUUGAGAGCUGCUGCCCCAAGUUUCAUGGGUGAAGGUUAAUACAGAUGGCUCAUUUCAUGGCCCAGGCCAGGCAGGUGCCGGUGGUAUUUUUUGCAAUCAUUCUGCGGCAUUCUUAGGUUCAUUCUCUCAGAGAGUUGAGGUCACAGCGCGGUGGAGGCUGAAGUGUUUGCAUUAUUUGAAGCCUUGAUAAUUGCAUGGAAUAAAGGAUGGAAUCACUUAUGGGUGGAAACUGACUCACCAAGUUUGUUCAUCUAUGACCUUGCUGUACUUUGAAUUAGCAUUAGGUUUUCAAGUAAUUACCAUAGAAUAGGUUUCCGAAGUUUUCUUGUAGUGAAACCCCUUCUGUUCUUCUCUAAGAAUGGCCUUUACCAAAAGUUUGUUCCCAUCAUCUUUUCUUCUCUACCUUCAUCUCCCAUGCAGCAUAAGUAUCUUCUUUCCACAGCUCUGUCUAGCCUCUAGCACCUCUAGCGAAUGUCGAAUGAUGCUUCCAUCUCAAAAACCUUGUCCUGGAUACUUAAAAUGCAGUUGAUCAUAUGUGCUAACCAAGGCCUUUGAAUACUUGCAUGAGUAAUAGCCGGUACUAAACUACUAAUGAUCCUUAAUUGUAUGAGGAACCUGUCACCGAGCUUCUGCCUUCUCCUCUCAACAUGCUGGUUUGAACGAUAUACCAUUCUUGUUGUGUCUCCUUAUACCAAUCCUGCCUUCUCCGUUACCUU
Molecule: long non-coding RNA, 949 nt
Organism: Rosa rugosa (rugosa rose)
Lineage: Eukaryota; Viridiplantae; Streptophyta; Magnoliopsida; Rosales; Rosaceae
Exons: 3
Source: RefSeq, a predicted model, not a curated record